AUCCACGCCGAGGCUCCACCCCUCCUUAGGGCAGGUAUGACCGAGAGCUGGGGCGGGAGCGUUGACCUGUCGGGUAAAGCCAGCCCUACCGCUCGACUCAGUUGCACGCGCAGGGAGUGUGUGUUCACUCUGACUCGGCCCGGCUCCCCGUCCCCGCCGAAGCGCAGAGGCGAAUGAGAGCUGAGUCCUGGGGAGCAGCGCUCCGACUCACGCCCUCAGCAAGCCGAGUGUUUAAAAUACAUUCAGCCACUAGAUGUCGCUGUGGCCCCACCGCGAGGACGCGGAGGGAGGCGCUGCAGAGCACGGGCGACGUGACCACAGCUGUCGGGGCUAACUCUGGAAUGCCGGGUGCUCGGAGGAGCCUCCCCAGCUGGGGCCAAGCAGCGUCCAAGCAGAGGAGGAAACAGAUUCAGAUGGCAAAGGCAGAAAACGGGACGUGCUACUUUACCAGCACAUCACUGGGGGUAGGAGAUGAGGUCAGAGAACUCGCCAGGCCCAGAUCACCCAGCGCCUGAGUGGCUGGAGGUUAAGUGAGUUGGGUUUUUACAGGGUCCCUCUGUGUGGGUGUGGGGGGAAAGCUGAGAGGCCGAGGAGCAGGCAGAUGUGGUCAUCCAGGUAGGUUUGCCAGACUUAGCAAAGAAAAAUACAGGAUGCAUGCACUACUCGGGACAUACCUAACUAAAGAAUUAUUUGUUGUUUAUCUGAAAUUCCAACUUAAAACACUGGGUAUCCUGUAUUUUAGCUAGCAACCCAGGUGGCAGGUGGAAGAUGGAGAUUCACGAUUGCUUCUGGAAGACUCGCUGUGUGAUUCCGCCCACCCCAUGGCCAUUCCCUCCUCCUGAGAUGUUCAGAGCAGGAUUCCUACCUAGUGCCCCGCCAAACAUGGCCCACACCCCAAGUCACCCUGGACCACACCCGCCCCUCCGUCAUUUCCUACAGGCUUUUCCUGCAGAUUGAGAGAGGAAACUGGGCAGGGAGCACACCACUGAUGGGUGAAAUGAUGAUCUCACAGGAAACCAGACAAGCUAGAGUUGUCACCACACCCUGGACUCAGAGAACUUGGGUACUUCACCGACGGCCACCUCCCAUCGCCCUUUCAUUCUUCAUGGGCAGGGCCUUGCAAGCCUUGGUGAUGGAUUUUAUUCCAUGAGAUGGGGCAGCUGUUGCAGGAACACGAUUUGAGUUGUUUUUUGAAAGAUUGCUCUGGCUACUGUGCAGAGUGGCUUCUCAGGGUGCACACGGGGGAGAUGUCGUAGGACAACUGGGUGUUGGAUCUGGAGCUCAGGGAGAACAACCCUCAGAGGAGAUGGCCCCUGGCUGAGCCUGGAGAUACCACCAUUCCAGAGAAGAGCAGAGGGCCAGGAGAAGGGGCGUGUGGCUGUGUGGUUGACAUCUCGAUGACAUGUGCUGUGUGUGUCCCUCACAGACUUGGGAUCUUUCUGGGAGGCAAACACAGGCCUUGGGGAAUGUUCUGGGAUGGGCGAUGUCAGCCUCAGUGUGUUUGCUCAGCUGCUGGGCUCUCUUGGGACCAUAGAGGACUGCAGCACCAAUGGUGGAACUCCAGGCGUGGUGACAGGAUGUGACCAGGUUCCCCCACCCAGGUCUGUGGUCAGCCUGGCUGUGCUGAAUGGUGGAAGCAGGGGUGAGGCCCCGAGAGGUGUCUGGAGCCAUCUGGCCGUGAGGUCAGCCACCCAGCCAGGCCUCUGGAAGCCAUGGGCAGCCACUUCCCAGAUGCGGCUUCCUGCCCUUUCCUCCACCAAAACCACACUCAGCUCAUAGGCUGGCCUCAGGGGCAGUCCCUUUCCCACGGGGAGGGCCGCAUGCAAAUGCCACACUGAGCUGAGCCAAGGCAGGGGUCAAUUCUGAAGGCCUGGAUCCUCCAUGUCCUAUGGGCAGGUCAACCACAACAAAGCCCAGCCUGCCCAUCAAGCCCCACUGCUUUCCACUGCUUUGGUGCCUUCGCCUCUCUGGGUGAACCCUGCUCACCCUGAGCCCCUGCAUGUAAGGCACUUUUAGAUGCAAUCAUCCCCUGCGAUUUUCCUGAUACAGGGAGAAGAAGGCAGGUGGCCCUGGCCACUGUGUGUGCUGACGCAGAGCGAACAGGCAGCAGCACUGGAGGGAGGGAGGAGUGUGUGUGUGGCUGUGCGUCCUGUGUGUGGAUUUUUGUGUGCAAGUCCCGUGUGUGUACCUAGCAUGUAUGUCCCAGUAGCUUGUGUGUACCUGUGCCCUGGGUGUGUGCUUGUGCAAAUCUCUGUGUGUGUUUGUGCAAAUCUUUGUGAAUGUAAACCUGUACCUAAGAGUGUUGUCUGUGUGUCAACGUGUGUGUAUAGGCGCCUGGAACCAGUUAUGAUUUAGAUCAACACCCCACUUUCAGCCUUGGCGAGAUUCCUUCCUGCAGGACCGGGGAACAGAUCACUACUCCCAUUUUGCAGAAGUGAGACUGAGGCUCAGAGAGGGCCGAGACUUGCCUAAGGUCACCAGCUGAUGGGAUUACAAUUCAGUCCUUACCUCUAUGGUGGCUUCUAAGGGUUCAUGGGUGUUCUUGGUCCCAAACUCUCCUCCCCAACCUGUUCCAUUGGUGCCUGCAAUACCCCUGUUGGGAAGAGACAGUGUCCUUGGCAGAUUCAUCUGUUAAACUGGCCUCCCUUCAUGAAACAGGGACAAUCCAUCCUUCCCAAGACUGUCCUAGCGG
Long non-coding RNA from Homo sapiens (human), 2692 nucleotides. RefSeq lists it as uncharacterized. Lineage: Eukaryota; Metazoa; Chordata; Mammalia; Primates; Hominidae. The transcript is spliced from 3 exons. The record is from RefSeq and is a predicted model, not a curated record.